This 923-nucleotide ribosomal RNA is filed under the name Nematoda environmental sample. RNAcentral's name for it is "SSU rRNA". It matches the Rfam family "Eukaryotic small subunit ribosomal RNA", at positions 88 to 1020 of the family's 1831-position model. Lineage: Eukaryota; Metazoa; Nematoda. The record is from RNAcentral.
CGCGAAUAGCUCAUUACAACAGCCUUAGUUUAUUGGAUCUUAGAGUCCUACUUGGAUAACUGUGGUAAUUCUAGAGCUAAUACACGCAAUUAAUCCUCAACCUUACGGGCGAGGAGCAUUUAUUAGAACAAAACCAAUCGGCUUCGGCCGUAUCUGGUGAAUCUGAAUAACUACGCUGAUCGCAUGGUCUCGUACCGGCGACAUAUCCUUCAAGUGUCUGCCUUAUCAACUGUCGAUGGUAGUUUACACGCCUACCAUGGUUGUAACGGGUAACGGAGAAUAAGGGUUCGACUCCGGAGAGGGAGCCUGAGAAACGGCUACCACAUCCAAGGAAGGCAGCAGGCGCGCAAAUUACCCACUCUCAGAACGAGGAGGUAGUGACGAAAAAUAACGAGACAGUUCUCUAUGAGGUCUGUCAUCGGAAUGGGUACAAUUUAAACCCUUUAACGAGGAUCUAUUGGAGGGCAAGUCUGGUGCCAGCAGCCGCGGUAAUUCCAGCUCCAAUAGCGUAUAUUAAAGUUGUUGCGGUUAAAAAGCUCGUAGUUGGAUCUGCGGUCGUAGACUCUGGUUCCCUCCUAGGGAUACUAGCUGUCUCGACCUACCUUGUUAGAUUUCCCUUGGUGCUCUUUACUGAGUGCCUUGGGUGUCUAGCUCGUUUACUUUGAAAAAAUUAGAGUGCUUAAAGCAGGCAUUUGCCUGAAUAGUGGUGCAUGGAAUAAUGGAAUAGGACCUCGGUUCUAUUUUGUUGGUUUUCGGAGCGUGAGGUAAUGAUUAAGAGGGACAGACGGGGGCAUUCGUACUGCUACGUUAGAGGUGAAAUUCUUGGAUCGUAGCAUGACGAACAACUGCGAAAGCAUUUGCCAAGAAUGUUUUCAUUAAUCAAGAACGAUAGUUAGAGGUUCGAAGGCGAUCAGAUACCGCCC